Long non-coding RNA from Cyanistes caeruleus (blue tit), 3503 nucleotides. RefSeq lists it as uncharacterized. The record is from RefSeq and is a predicted model, not a curated record. Lineage: Eukaryota; Metazoa; Chordata; Aves; Passeriformes; Paridae.
CCCGGCCGAGCCCUCAGGGCACCACCGAGAGGGCGGGACUGUGGCUGCUGAGGUACCGCCAUAACGACCGGGGAAAGCACCGGGAAAAACACCGGGACAGGUGUACCGGGUGCCACGGAGAGCCCUCCAGGGUGAAGAAAAAUAUCAUGGAUACUGUGACUGCAUCUGUUUGCACGAUAUAAUCGACGCCCACUGUGAUGUUGACUUUAUGGAGGGACCAGCGUUUUCUUUGCCCAGACCUGCGGGCAGGGGAAGGGACGCCGCUUUCCACUCCGCACCCAGUUCAGAAACAAAAGCAGCGAUUGUCCGGCUGAGAGCGCCUCCGCCGCUCCGCAGGGACCGUGUCCCAUCCCGGCCGCUGGAAAAGCGCUGUCCCCGUUCCUCGGGCUGUGCCCGGGGCUGUCGCAGCGCCGGGAGCCAGGGCAGGUGCUCGGUGUCCCGGGAAGGGCUCCCCGGUUCAGGUGUGCCCGCACCGGGGAUUCGUGCUCAGGUUUGUGUUUCCCGGCUCCAUUAGCUGGCCUAACGAGGUAAUGACACCCCUGUCCGGCCCUGGCCUUUCCCAGGUCACCGAGCUGCUUUAAAGGCUGUUUUAGAGAAUAAACUAAUUAGCCAGCAGCGUUCACUGCUGUGUUUAACAACCCCUCAGUGCCUAUUACAGGUGAGAGCAGCGGCUGAGCCACAGCUGCUCCUGCCAAGGACAGGGAGUGGAUCCCAUGGGACUCCCACCCUCUCACACUGCCAGUGGGUGCUGCCUGGCCAAGGCCUUCCAGACCCUGCAGCAGUUGGUGAAGCCACGGGAACACCAUGGGAAUUAAACCUAACUGUGCCACCCAGCAGCAGGGUCCUCAAGGGGACACACGGCUCCUGGCAGCCCCUGGCACCCCCUGCUCAUGGCCCAGGGCAGCUGCAGAAAGCUGCUUUGCUCCAGGGAAGCCGAUUACAGCUCCCUGACACCCAGGAGGGCCACACAGGCACCAGAACCCACGGUGGGGCUGGAGGCUUGGGUGCCACCUUUGCUCCGGGGGCACCAGCAGGUCCUUGGGGUGAGGGGCCAGGGGAUCAUCAGGCAGUGCUCCCUGCAUCUCUCCACCCUUCAUCCCAUCAAUGCCAGUUAAUAAUUAACAGGAGAGAGCAGGGCCAGGCCUUGGCACGAUGCCGCUGUGGCAUUAAAGCGUGUGGAAAGCCCGGUGAGCCUGUGCCUAUUGCAGGUAACAGGAGCCCCACGGAGCCUUAAUGGGCUUUGGGACCCGUUAGCUCCUUAUCCCCAGCAAUAAGCUCCUUAUCUCUGCUCCAGAACCCCCCGCAGCUCCCACAGCCCCGGCUCCUUCACCUGGGCCGUGUCAGGGCUGAGCCCCUCACCCUGAGCCAGCCCCACGGUGCCACGUGUGCUCAGCCAGCAUACACAGCACCCCGAGGCUCACGCAGGACACAGACAGGUGAGGGGACACUCACCUGUGAGGCUGCCAUGGCUGAGCUGGGGCAGCGCUCCCUGCCCCGCUCUGUCCCGCGGAGCCCCGGCACAGCCCGGCACAGGGACCGGCCCUGGGAUCGCAUCUGGCACAGGCAGGCUGGAAAGGACAGCAGGAAAACAGGGCAAGGAUGGGCCCGGCCCUCGGCACAGGAAACCACCCUCACGCUGGAGCAAAGGAAGGAAAAAGGCGAAGCAGAGUGUGGGGCAGGAUGUACGGCUGGAACGCCGGGAAUGGCACAGCUGGAACGCCGGGAAUGGCACAGCUGGAACAUCGGGAAUGGCACAGCUGGAACAUCGGGAAUGACACAGCUGGAACAUUGGGAAUGGCAUAGCUGGAACACUGAGGAUGGCACAGCUGGAACAUCAGGAAUGGCACAGCUGGAACAUCGGGAAUGACACAGCUGGAACAUUGGGAAUGGCACAGCUGGAACACCGGGAAUGGCACAGCUGGAACAUUGGGAAUGGCACAGCUGGAACACUGGGAAUGGCACAGCUGGAACACUGAGGACAGCACGGUCCCACCCUCCCACCAAGGUCAGCUCAACAGGGACAGUUCAUCACUGCUCCUCACGGUGAUGAUUCCUCACAAUCAUUUUCCAUGUGAAAAGCACUUUUCCAGGAGGGAUCUCAGCCAGCUGAGCUCCCCCGGGCUGUCACAGGGUGCUGUGCCAGGGACUCCACUUCCAAGAGCCUCUCUUCCUGGGCACAGGGCUUGGCCUCCAGCAGUCCAUCCUGGCAAAGAUUUCAUUUCCUGCUCUACAAACCCCUCAGCUCCUCCAGGGGGUACAGCCCUGACUGAGGAACCACAAUCCUGAGCACACCCAGCCUCCGUGGGGUACCAAGGAAGCCAAGGAUUCCUGCCUCAGGCCAGCCUGCAAGAACUCACCCUUUCCUGGAAGAGCUGGAAAGAGCAGAGGCUCCCAGCUUGGAGGGGCAAUAAAGCACCAGGUGUCCUCUCCCUGGGAACCUUGGUUUGGCAGUAGGAGCCCAGGGACCUUCCCACAUAAAACAGAAUCACCAGAAGCUCCCAACAGCCUUGGUACAAACCCUGUUCUGUGAGCACUGAGUGAACACAAGGCCGUUCUCACUCUUGGGGUAGUUGGCAAAGGAUAAAUCCAUUGUUCAGACUGGAACAUGAUCCUGGCUCCGGGUAAUGGCCAGGAUAAAUAAUGAGAAGUGGCUAAUUAACAAUGCUGAGGCCGGCAGGCAGUGAUUGGAACAGCACCAGGAGCCAGAGGAGCACCCACCUUCCCACACGGCUCCAGCCCAGAGCUGGGCAGGGAACCCACAGUGCCCCUUCCCUACUCCCUGCCUGCCCUGGACAGAAUUCCGAGUGGGAACCCACCUUGGGAGUGCCUCAGUUUCCAUGGCAACUUCCCCUCAGCCCAUUGCUCAAUGUUGUUCUUUUUCCAUGUAACAGCACAUCCUGCUGCUUUUUCAAACAGCUCCUUAUCCAACCGGCCCAUCCCAGCGCCAGCAGCUCUGCAGGCUGUGCUCAGCCCAGGAGGGCACAGGGCAGGGUGGGACACGACCCUGCUGGAUUCCUGGCCAGGGAAUGUGCAGCCUAGCCCGUGCUGGGGACAGUGUGGGACCCUCCUGCCCCUCAGCCCCCGCAGGAAAGGCUCAGUCCCAGCCCAGCUGCACCUGGGCCAGGAUGGCUCCCAGCUCCCCGGCCACUGUGGCUUCCUGCAGCGACAUCUGUGAUUAAAAGCUGGUAUUUUGCCUGCAAACAGCAGCUACUCAGAGCCAAGUCACGCAAUGCCUUUGAGAGAUCCAAACCCCUCAUUGCCUUGAUCAGCCUGGCCAGGACACUCACACAGCAGUGCCUGAUGCAAACACAAACAUCAGAAACCACAAACAUCAGAAACCACAUCUGAAAUUAAAAAAAGUUUAUUUGCAGAUCUGUAAAACAGCCCUGCGAAAGACCAACAUUUCCAAACACUACGAGAUGAGAAUGCAUUUUCCUAUCAUUAGAAUAUAAAAAAACAGUCACAGUCCUUCAACUACCCCAUGAAAAGCAGACAUUUAUGAA